UGAAAACCAGUGGAUCUGAUCAUCAGCCAUCAAAAGAUAAGUAUCCCAUCUUGAUGCCCACUUGAUAUCACUUUCCUCAAAUUCAACAUCAUAUGUGAAGAUGAUUUCCUUCUUAUCUUCAACCUCUUGGGGAGAAUCAGAACUUGUAACAGUACGUUUGGCAUGGGGAUCACAAGUGGUCAAUCGAUUUUUGCCAUUCCAUUCCCCAUCAUAUUCGUGUUUCACACUGAAUGGUUUCACUUCAAAUCCUACAACUCUCGCAGCAUCAGUUUGUGGAUCCUUGUGAAACUUGACAGUGAAUGUCAGAUGAUUAUGGAUGAAAUGCUUCUCCUCCUUGCUUCCAGCAUAUUGUCCCUUAAGACCAACAUGAAAACCAUGCUGAUAGACUGUAGUGUCCAGAUCAGGCCUUUUGAUAGGCAUAACAAGAGGAAGAUUGUCCAAGAUCAUGUUGACCCGAUACUCAUCUUCAAUCUUCUCUUUUAACUCUUUGGCAUUCUUUGCAUUGAGAACAACACGACACACAACAUUGCACAUCUGUGGUUCUCUCAUAUGGAACUCAAAAGGAGAGUUCUCAAUACGAUCACCACGAAGAACUUCACCAAGAUUCUCUGCACUGUCAACAAUUUGUUUUGGCGUGCAGUAAGGAAGGGAAUAAUAGGAAUAAGGAAGUUGUGUUUUU
This 679-nucleotide unclassified non-coding RNA is filed under the name Hevea brasiliensis (rubber tree). The record is from RNAcentral. Lineage: Eukaryota; Viridiplantae; Streptophyta; Magnoliopsida; Malpighiales; Euphorbiaceae.